This 87-nucleotide transfer RNA is filed under the name Acanthamoeba castellanii str. Neff. It matches the Rfam family "tRNA". Rfam says of the family: Transfer RNA (tRNA) molecules are approximately 80 nucleotides in length. Their secondary structure includes four short double-helical elements and three loops (D, anti-codon, and T loops). The record is from Rfam by way of RNAcentral. Lineage: Eukaryota; Discosea; Longamoebia; Acanthamoebidae.
GCCUGGAUGGCCGAGUUGGUCUAAGGCGGCAGACUUAAGAUCUGCUGGUGUUCGCGCACCGCGUGGGUUCAAACCCCACUCCAGGCA